CAGGCUUCGCCUUGUACGCGGCUCGGCACAUUACGGUCGAACCAACACUUCUCGAUCGGGAGCCUCACAUUUCGGGGCGGACAGGUAUCCCCGGCCUCGGCCGGGGAAGCUGGAUGUCACGGUGCGGGCACCCACCUGCUGAGGCAGGUUCACCCGGUCGGGCCGCGGCAAGGCGGGGCGUAA
Molecule: non-coding RNA, 183 nt
Filed under: Actinomycetota bacterium
Lineage: Bacteria; Bacillati; Actinomycetota
Description: Actinobacteria bacterium (sediment metagenome) 6S RNA
Rfam family: 6S / SsrS RNA
About the family: E. coli 6S RNA was the first non coding RNA to be sequenced, but its function was unknown until recently. It consists of 184 nucleotides that fold into an extended hairpin structure with a large single-stranded internal bulge.
Source: RNAcentral